This is a long non-coding RNA of Ruditapes philippinarum (Manila clam), 322 nucleotides long. RefSeq lists it as uncharacterized. The record is from RefSeq and is a predicted model, not a curated record. NCBI's taxonomy places the organism in Eukaryota, Metazoa, Mollusca, Bivalvia, Venerida, Veneridae. The transcript is spliced from 2 exons.
UAUUUAACGUAGAUAAAUGUGUUUGAGUCGCCCCCUGGAAAAAGAUUAAGAUUAGUAUUUUGAGGCGGCCCCUCCAGAAUAUUUUGAGGCGGCCCCCUCCAUUAUCGAUCAUUCAGUCACGUGACGUUUUUAGCGUGGACAAAGCAGAUUGAUCAUCCGCAACAAAGUCUUUGUUUAUAGACGUUUUUCAGUUUAUUUUUACGGACAGAUAAGUUAUUAUACAAUAUGCCACCAAAGCGCAGCCGUAUUGAACCAAUGGUAACCCGUACGAAGUCUAAACGGCAAAAACAAAGUUCUGAUGACAACACGGAGACAGCAACUC